This 488-nucleotide ribosomal RNA is filed under the name uncultured eukaryote. RNAcentral's name for it is "bacterial SSU rRNA". It matches the Rfam family "Eukaryotic small subunit ribosomal RNA", at positions 27 to 506 of the family's 1831-position model. The record is from RNAcentral.
UAUGCUUGUCUCAAAGAUUAAGCCAUGCAUGUCUAAGUAUAAACAACUUUAUACUGUAAAACUGCGAACGGCUCAUUAUAUCAGCAAUUAUUUAUUUGAUGGUUUCUUACUACAUGGAUAACCGUAGUAAUUCUAGAGCUAAUACAUGCAUAAAAUCACCGACUCUUGCGGGGAGUGACNGUAUUUAUUAGAUUAAAAACCAAUGCNGGCCUUUGGUCGGACUUGUGUUGAUUCAUAGUAACCUUUCGGAUCGCAGGGCUUCACGCCGGCGACAGUUCAUUCAAAUUUCUGCCCUAUCAGCUUUCGACGGUAGUGUAGUGGACUACCGUGGCAUUUACGGGUGACGGAGAAUUAGGGUUCGAUUCCGGAGAGGGAGCCUGAGAAACGGCUACCACAUCCAAGGAGGGCAGCAGGCGCGCAAAUUACCCAAUCCUGACACAGGGAGGUAGUGACAAUAAAUAACAAUACCGUACGUUCUCACGUCCGGU